ACAUCCUUGAUGAAUUAACUGGGCUUACUUUUCCCUCUCAUUUGAUCUGUUUUAUUGUAAAUGCAGUAUCCGUUUUUAAAGUGGCUUUGACAAAGUAGCACGUAACAACACAUGGUGGUCCAUGUGCAGCGGCAGCAGUGGUCGGCGCUCCUUUGGUUCUGGCGGUCGUCGGCUUCACCACCGCUGGGAUAGCAGUAGGCUCCUAUGCUGCGGCGAUGAUGUCGGCUGCUGCUAUCGCUAACGGAGGAGCGGUGGCCGCCGGGAGCACCGUGGCUAUUCUGCAGGCAAUAGGUGCAGCUGGUUUGACGGCAGCUGCAAAUGCGGCGGGAGCAGGAGCCGGAGCAAAUGUGUUAGUACUGGUUGCAAUUAUUUGAAAUUCAUGAAGGAAAAAUGUCAAUUUUUGCUAAUUGGAAGGUAAUUGUAAAUUACACCAUGCAGCAUCUCUGACAACUUACAUGUUUUGGUCAAUAAACAUGUGUACCAUCA
Molecule: long non-coding RNA, 486 nt
Organism: Pseudoliparis swirei
Lineage: Eukaryota; Metazoa; Chordata; Actinopteri; Perciformes; Liparidae
Exons: 2
Source: RefSeq, a predicted model, not a curated record